UACUGGUCCAUCACUAUUCUAGUAUUCGCUAAUCCCCAAGUUAUCGUCUUAGCACGCUAAACACAGUACUACCAGUAGUUCCCAAAAUAAUAAAAGAAAAAGAAAAUAGCAACAAUUCUUCUCUCUUUGUACAAUUCUUCAUCUGACUUUUUCUCUGCAAUUUCUCCCAUCUUUUUUGCUCUUCUCCCAAACUCAUCAUAUCGACAUUAUUACCAUAAUUAAUUAUUAAAAAAAACGCCAUCAUCACAGUAAUAAUUCUCCAAAAUAUCGGUUUCUGUUUAUAUUAAUCAAUUUGCGUAACAACACAGUAAGUGUGAGUGAGUGAGUGAAGAUGGGUUGCAACCAAUCAAAGAUCGAAAACGAAGAAGCAGUUGCACGCUGCAAAGAACGAAAGCGUUUCAUGAAAGAGGCCGUUUCCACCCGUAACGCCUUCGCCGCCGCUCACUCCGCCUACACCACCUCCCUCAAAAACACCGGCGCUGCCCUCGGUGAUUUCGCACACGGCGAAGUUCAGAAUCCUCAAUUCACAACCACCACCGCCGAUAAUUCCUACAUAGCAACGCUGCCUCAAAAACCCUUCGAGAUCCCUCUCCCUCCGCCUCCUCUACCAGAUUUCUCUCCUCUUCAACGAUCCACCAGCAUGCCCGAAAUCAGCAAAAUUAAGCCCGAUCCCAGGCCCAAGCCCAUGCCUAAGCCCAUUCUCGAGGAAGAUGAAGAAGAGAGAGAGCUAGAGAAUGAAGGUUCUUUGAGAAAAAGAAGAACAAACAGAAACACAGGUGGUGUUGGUGGGGGUGUGAAUAGUAAUAGAAGGUUGGAGGAUGAAGAACAAGCUCCACCACCUAUGCCACCUCCUCCGGCGAAACAACCACCACCGGAGAAUGAUCCUGUCAGUAAUCACCAUCACCAUUCUAUGUCGAAUCCGCAGCAAAGUUCUGCUUGGGAGUAUUUUUUUCCACCCAUGGAGAACGUUGCAGGGACGAGUUUGAAUGAGGAAGCUGAAGAAGAAGAUACACUCAAUAAGAUGAAGAAUAUUGCAAGGCCUAAUAGGGUUGGUGUUGUGGAAGAAGUUGUUGCAACUCAAAGGGUUGUUGAUGUUGAGGUUCCCUUGCCUAAGCAUGAUCUUGAUCAUGAGCAUGAGCCUAUCCCUGAGCAUGAGGAAAUGGUGGAGUCGCCCAUGACAUCACCGUCAUCGGGUAUUAAGGUGAACCAGAUGCCGGUUACGCCUCCCCCUAUGGAGGCAAAGAGGAUUGUGAAGCACAAUAAUGUUAAUUUGUUGCAGAUAUUUGCUGAUCUUGAUGACCAUUUUCUUAAGGCUUCUGAGAGUGCUCAUGAGGUUUCAAAGUUGCUUGAGGCUACACGAUUGCACUAUCACUCCAAUUUUGCUGACAAUAGAGGACACAUUGAUCACUCUGCAAGGGUCAUGCGAGUUAUCACUUGGAAUAGAUCCUUUAAAGGAAUACCUAAUUUGGAUGAUGGGAAGGAUGAUUAUGACUCAGACGAGCAUGAAACUCAUGCUACCAUCUUGGACAAGUUGUUAGCUUGGGAAAAGAAACUUUAUGAUGAAGUUAAGGCUGGUGAACUAAUGAAAUUUGAGUACCAAAGAAAAGUUGCCACACUAAACAAGCUGAAGAAGAGAGGUAAUAACUCUGAAGCAUUGGAGAAAGCAAAAGCAGUUGUCAGUCAUUUGCAUACAAGAUAUAUUGUAGAUAUGCAAUCAUUGGAUUCAACAGUCUCAGAGAUUAACCGAUUACGUGAUGAACAAUUGCAUCCAAGACUUGUUCAGCUUGUUGAUGAGAUGGCCACUAUGUGGAAAAAAAUGCUAUCUCACCAUGAGAAGCAAUCGGAGACUGUGACAUUGCUGAAAUCGUUGGACCCUUCCCAAUCUCCUAAGCAGACAAGUGAACACCAUCACGAGCGAACAUAUCAGCUAUUGGUUGUUGUGCAACAGUGGCAUUCACAAUUUGAGAAACUAGUCAACAAUCAAAAGGGAUACAUAAAGUCCCUAAACAAUUGGUUAAAAUUAAAUCUUAUCCCUAUUGAGAGCAAUUUGAAGGAGAAAGUCUCUUCACCUCCAAGAGUUAGAAGUCCACCUGUACAAGGUCUUCUCCAUGCAUGGCAUGACCGUCUAGAGAAACUUCCCGAUGAACUUGCUAGGACAGCUAUAGGAAACUUUGCUGCGGUAUUAGAUACUAUUUUCAAUCAGCAAGAUGAAGAGAUGAUUAAGAAGAGAAAAUGUGAAGAUUCUCGAAAGGAGCUUGCCCGCAAAACUAGGCAAUUUGAUGAUUGGUAUCACAAGUAUAUGCAAAGGAAAACACCGGAGGAGUUUGAUCCAGAUAAGGCAGAAGAUCCUAAUGCUCCCGAUGAAGUUGUCACCGAGAAGCAGAUUUUGGUUGAACAAGUGAGGAAGAGGUUGGAAGCGGAGGAAGCAGACUAUGAAAAGCAAUGCCUCCAAGUGAGGCAAAAAACUUUGGGAAGUCUAAAAAAUCGCAUGCCAGAGCUCUUCAGGGCUAUGUGUGAUUUUUCUCUUGAAUGUUCUAAAAUGUACAUCGAAUUAUGCUCGAUAGCGCAGCACCUAGGGCAGAACUCAUCCUGAGGGCAUGAAAAUUGAAUGGAUUGAUGACGCCCUUGUUCUAAAUUGUACAUGUUCCAUAUCAUAAGCUCUGUGCCGGGCUUUUGACCUUCGUUAUGCUUAUAGCUGGGAAAUUUUGAUUUUGUCCAAUUACUUUGUUCAUCUACCUCCUCAAGUAAUCUUUGUGGUCAUAUGGAGGGAGCAAGACACCCUUUUCCACCCCUCUUGACUCUAGUAUUGAGGUGGAGUUUAAAGAAAAUAUUCACCAGCAAAGAGAACAUAAUUUAGUGCAAUCUCAUUCUUCGCCGCCAAUUAUUAUGGCCUGGAGACAUCUUCAUCAGCCAUGCUCAUUAUUUUACUGGGGCAGUUUGAAGAUAUCCAUGCUAGAAUGAUUGUCAAGGAUUUCAGUAUAGAAAGUAAAUUUUGAUUGAUGAAAUCAAAUGAAAGUAAACUUGGUUAUGAAA
Cicer arietinum (chickpea) is the source of this 3033-nucleotide RNA transcript. It is a transcript of the gene named protein ALTERED PHOSPHATE STARVATION RESPONSE 1-like, with no coding region annotated. The record is from RefSeq and is a predicted model, not a curated record. Lineage: Eukaryota; Viridiplantae; Streptophyta; Magnoliopsida; Fabales; Fabaceae.